Molecule: transfer RNA, 82 nt
Filed under: Clostridiales bacterium
Lineage: Bacteria; Bacillati; Bacillota; Clostridia; Eubacteriales
Also listed under: 1 other name
Description: tRNA-Leu
Rfam family: tRNA
About the family: Transfer RNA (tRNA) molecules are approximately 80 nucleotides in length. Their secondary structure includes four short double-helical elements and three loops (D, anti-codon, and T loops).
Source: RNAcentral
GCGCUCGUGGCGGAAUGGCAGACGCGCACGUUUGAGGGGCGUGUGAGCAAUCGUACCGGUUCAAGUCCGGUCGAGCGCACCA